Molecule: ribosomal RNA, 253 nt
Filed under: uncultured bacterium
Lineage: Bacteria
Description: partial 16S ribosomal RNA
Rfam family: Bacterial small subunit ribosomal RNA
Source: RNAcentral
UACAGAGGGUGCGAGCGUUAAUCGGAAUUACUGGGCGUAAAGCGCACGUAGUCGGCUUUGCAAGUCGGUUGUGAAAUCCCCGGGCUCAACCUGGGAACUGCAUCCGAGACUGCAUUGCUAGAGUAUGGGAGAGGGAAGCGGAAUUUCUGGUGUAGCAGUGAAAUGCGUAGAUAUCAGAAGGAACAUCAGUGGCGAAGGCGGCUUUCUGGACCAAUACUGACGAUCAGGUGCGAAAGCGUGGGGAGCAAACAGG